ACCUGUAUAUGCGAAGUACCCCAUACAUGGUCAAAUUCUUCUGUUAUUCCAUUCUUUAUUAUUAUGUUGGAAUAACCUAUCUAUGUGAAGUACCGCAUACAUGGUGAAAUUCUUUUGUUAUUCCAUUCUCUAUUAUUCUGUUGGAAUAUCCUGUCUGUGCGUUUACGCAUGACCUGGUUCCAUUAUUUAUUAUUCUGUUGGAAUAUUCUGUCUGUGCGUUUAUGCAUGACCUAGUUCCAUUAUUUAUUAUUCUGUUGGAAUAACCUGUCU
RNAcentral lists this long non-coding RNA (270 nucleotides) under Panax ginseng (ginseng). Its description in RNAcentral is "long non-coding RNA (PGIN_LNC009565)". The record is from RNAcentral. Lineage: Eukaryota; Viridiplantae; Streptophyta; Magnoliopsida; Apiales; Araliaceae.